Molecule: ribosomal RNA, 254 nt
Filed under: uncultured bacterium
Lineage: Bacteria
Description: partial 16S ribosomal RNA
Rfam family: Bacterial small subunit ribosomal RNA
Source: RNAcentral
CACGUAGGGGGCAAGCGUUGUCCGGAUUUAUUGGGCGUAAAGAGCUCGUAGGCGGUUCGGCAAGUCGGGUGUGAAACCCCCAGGCUCAACCUGGGGACGCCACCCGAUACUGCUGUGACUUGAGUCCGGUAGGGGAGCGUGGAAUUCCUGGUGUAGCGGUGAAAUGCGCAGAUAUCAGGAGGAACACCAGCGGCGAAGGCGGCGCUCUGGGCCGGAACUGACGCUGAGGAGCGAAAGCCAGGGGAGCAAACGGG